CUGAGGCAGCAGCCUCCCCACUCCAGGUCUCUGGGUCAGAGAUCCCGAUAGCCAGAGACGUUUGUGUGGCCUACUGUUCUGUGGCAGAGAUCUACUUCACUGACCUCUGUAUGGAGGACAGGGCAGGAGAUCAGUGUCGAGAGGCCAUAGAGAGAGUGCUGACCUAUCACCCUGACAACCCAGAGGCUCUACAGCUGAUGGCCAGCUACCUGUUCAAUACAGAGAUGAACCAGGAGGGGAGGGAGUGUGGAUGCGUGGCUACCUGCCCUGAAACAGUGACGCUCCACCCAGCAGAGAGGACAUAGAGGAGGAACACACACAGAGUGACAUCCCACCGUAUGAAUCUCGCAUCACCACGGCCAAACUCCUCAUAGAGGCAGAAGAGUACGAGACAGCAGUAGAUGUGUUGGAGGGUCUACUAGAGGAAGAUGACGAGGUUGUGCAGGUGAGUCAU
Non-coding RNA from Salvelinus sp. IW2-2015, 454 nucleotides. The record is from RefSeq and is a predicted model, not a curated record. NCBI's taxonomy places the organism in Eukaryota, Metazoa, Chordata, Actinopteri, Salmoniformes, Salmonidae.